UAUAGGGUGCCAGAAUGUUAUGGGCUGGAUUUAGGAUUCAGUUAGGAGUGUAAGCACUUCCCUAUAU
Molecule: transfer RNA, 67 nt
Filed under: Schistosoma turkestanicum
Lineage: Eukaryota; Metazoa; Platyhelminthes; Trematoda; Strigeidida; Schistosomatidae
Description: tRNA-Leu
Source: RNAcentral